Molecule: ribosomal RNA, 683 nt
Filed under: Nesterenkonia sp.
Lineage: Bacteria; Bacillati; Actinomycetota; Actinomycetes; Micrococcales; Micrococcaceae
Description: bacterial SSU rRNA
Rfam family: Bacterial small subunit ribosomal RNA
Source: RNAcentral
UACUGGAUAUGACCAAUCCCUGCAUGGGGUGUUGGUGGAAAGAUUUUAUCGGUUUUGGAUGGACUCGCGGCCUAUCAGCUUGACGGUGAGGUAGUGGCUCACCGUGGCGAUGACGGGUAGCCGGCCUGAGAGGGUGACCGGCCACACUGGGACUGAGACACGGCCCAGACUCCUACGGGAGGCAGCAGUGGGGAAUAUUGCACAAUGGGCGCAAGCCUGAUGCAGCGACGCCGCGUGCGGGAUGACGGCCUUCGGGUUGUAAACCGCUUUCAGCAUAGAAGAAGCCCUUGUGGUGACGGUAUAUGCAGAAGAAGCGCCGGCUAACUACGUGCCAGCAGCCGCGGUAAUACGUAGGGCGCGAGCGUUAUCCGGAAUUAUUGGGCGUAAAGGGCUCGUAGGCGGUUUGCCGCGUCUGCUGUGAAAGCCCGGGGCUUAACCCCGGGUCUGCAGUGGGUACGGGUAGACUAGAGUGCAGUAGGGGAGACUGGAAUUCCUGGUGUAGCGGUGAAAUGCGCAGAUAUCAGGAGGAACACCGAUGGCGAAGGCAGGUCUCUGGGCUGUUACUGACGCUGAGGAGCGAAAGCAUGGGGAGCGAACAGGAUUAGAUACCCUGGUAGUCCAUGCCGUAAACGAUGGGCACUAGGUGUGGGGGACAUUCCACGUUCUCCGCGCCGUAGCUAACG